UCGAAAAUGUUGUCUCUCUUGAGUGGAUCCUGAGUACGACGGAGCACGUGAAAUUCCGUCGGAAUCUGGGAGGACCAUCUCCUAAGGCUAAAUACUCUCUAGUGACCGAUAGUGAACCAGUACCGUGAGGGAAAGGUGAAAAGCACCCCGGAAGGGGAGUGAAAUAGAACCUGAAACCGUGUGCUUACAAGUAGUCAGAGCCCGUUAAUGGGUGAUGGCGUGCCUUUUGUAGAAUGAACCGGCGAGUUACGAUUUGAUGCAAGGUUAAGCAGUAAAUGUGGAGCCGUAGCGAAAGCGAGUCUGAAUAGGGCGUUUAGUAUUUGGUCGUAGACCCGAAACCAGGUGAUCUACCCUUGGUCAGGUUGAAGUUCAGGUAACACUGAAUGGAGGACCGAACCGACUUACGUUGAAAAGUGAGCGGAUGAACUGAGGGUAGCGGAGAAAUUCCAAUCGAACCUGGAGAUAGCUGGUUCUCUCCGAAAUAGCUUUAGGGCUAGCCUCAAGUGAUGAUUAUUGGAGGUAGAGCACUGUUUGGACGAGGGGCCCCUCUCGGGUUACCGAAUUCAGACAAACUCCGAAUGCCAAUUAAUUUAACUUGGGAGUCAGAACAUGGGUGAUAAGGUCCGUGUUCGAAAGGGAAACAGCCCAGACCACCAGCUAAGGUCCCAAAAUAUAUGUUAAGUGGAAAAGGAUGUGGCGUUGCCCAGACAACUAGGAUGUUGGCUUAGAAGCAGCCAUCAUUUAAAGAGUGCGUAAUAGCUCACUAGUCGAGUGACACUGCGCCGAAAAUGUACCGGGGCUAAACAUAUUACCGAAGCUGUGGAUUGUCCUUUGGACAAUGGUAGGAGAGCGUUCUAAGGGCGUUGAAGCAUGAUCGUAAGGACAUGUGGAGCGCUUAGAAGUGAGAAUGCCGGUGUGAGUAGCGAAAGACGGGUGAGAAUCCCGUCCACCGAUUGACUAAGGUUUCCAGAGGAAGGCUCGUCCGCUCUGGGUUAGUCGGGUCCUAAGCUGAGGCCGACAGGCGUAGGCGAUGGAUAACAGGUUGAUAUUCCUGUACCACCUAUAAUCGUUUUA
Molecule: ribosomal RNA, 1074 nt
Filed under: Staphylococcus aureus
Lineage: Bacteria; Bacillati; Bacillota; Bacilli; Caryophanales; Staphylococcaceae
Description: partial 23S ribosomal RNA
Rfam family: Bacterial large subunit ribosomal RNA
Source: RNAcentral